AUACGGAGGAUGCAAGCGUUAUCCGGAUUUAUUGGGUUUAAAGGGUGCGUAGGCUGUUGCGUAAGUCAGGGGUGAAAGACCGGGGCCCCACUCCGGAAGUGCCCUUGAUACUGUGCAGCUGGAGUGCGGAUGCCGGUGGAGGAAUGGGCAGUGUAGCGGUGAAAUGCAUAGAUAUUGCCCAGAACACCGAUUGCGAAGGCAUCUCACGAAUCCGCAACUGACGCUGAGGCACGAAAGCGUGGGGAUCAAACAGGAUUAGAUACCCUGGUAGUCCACGCAGUAAACGAUGAUGACUAACCGUCGGCGAUAGACAGUCGGUGGCCAAGCGAAAGCGAUAAGUCAUCCACCUGGGGAGUACGUUCGCAAGAAUGAAACUCAAAGGAAUUGGCGGGG
RNAcentral lists this ribosomal RNA (393 nucleotides) under uncultured bacterium. RNAcentral describes it as "partial 16S ribosomal RNA". It matches the Rfam family "Bacterial small subunit ribosomal RNA", at positions 523 to 918 of the family's 1533-position model. The record is from RNAcentral.